Molecule: ribosomal RNA, 805 nt
Filed under: Candidatus Woesearchaeota archaeon
Lineage: Archaea; Nanobdellati; Candidatus Woesearchaeota
Description: partial 23S ribosomal RNA
Rfam family: Archaeal large subunit ribosomal RNA
Source: RNAcentral
AAAGAACCUGAAACCUAAUAGUCAUAGUUUGAUAGGGCGAUUAUAUCGUUCUAUCGUACGUUUCGAAUAACGUGUCAGAGAGUGUACUUAAGUGGUGAGGAUAACUUUGAAAAAGGUAUCCGAAGGGAAACCAAUUGCCCGCAAUUUAUGAGGGGCAUGGUAUGAAAGUGCCAAUAAUCACUUGGGUACGACCCGAAGCCGGGCGAUCUAACCCUGGGUAGGAUGAAGCAAGGAUAAAACCUUGUGGAGGUCCGAAGAGGUUCUACGGACAAGUGUUCUUCUAACCUGGGGCUAGGGGUGAAAAGCCAAUCGAGCCCGGCGAUAGCUGGUUCCUACCAAAAUUGGCUGUAGUCAAGUCCUGAACGAGAUUGCUAAGAUUGUAAAGCUACGGAUCAAAGGAUUAGGCCGGGAAACUGGUCGACCUUUUGUCCAACUCAGAAUGUCUUAGCGUUGAAGACUUUAGGAAACGGGGAUGUGGGGUAAACUUACAUUCCAAGAGGGGAACAACCCAGACUAUAGUUAAGGUCCUUAAAUAAUGGUUAAGUGUUAAAGGGUGAAAAGUGUUUGCAAUCUCAGACAGCGAGGAGGUUGGCUCAGAAGCAGCCAUCCUUUAAAAAGUGCGUAACAGCUUACUCGUCAAGGUUGUAAGUCUUGAAAGUAAUAGGGCUAAACCAUUUACCGAUACUAUAGAUUAUCCAUAAGAUAUAUGGUAGGUAGGCGUUCUUUUAGGCUAGAAGCAUUUCCAAAAGGAAAUGUGGACCUGGAAGAAAUGAGAAUUCUGACGGUAGUAAGAUCAGAGCAGAGU